CCUACGGGAGGCAGCAGUGGGGAAUUUUGGACAAUGGGGGCAACCCUGAUCCAGCCAUGCCGCGUGAGUGAAGAAGGCCUUCGGGUUGUAAAGCUCUUUCGGCCGGGAAGAAAUCGCAUAGGCUAAUACCCUGUGUGGAUGACGGUACCGGAAUAAGAAGCACCGGCUAACUACGUGCCAGCAGCCGCGGUAAUACGUAGGGUGCGAGCGUUAAUCGGAAUUACUGGGCGUAAAGCGUGCGCAGGCGGUUUCGUAAGACAGAGGUGAAAUCCCCGGGCUCAACCUGGGAACUGCCUUUGUGACUGCGAGGCUAGAGUACGGCAGAGGGGGGUGGAAUUCCACGUGUAGCAGUGAAAUGCGUAGAGAUGUGGAGGAACACCGAUGGCGAAGGCAGCCCCCUGGGCCGAUACUGACGCUCAUGCACGAAAGCGUGGGUAGCAAACAGGAUUAGAUACCCUGGUAGUCCACGCCCUAAACGAUGUCAACUAGGUGUUGGGUGGGUAAAACCNUUUAGUACCGUAGCUAACGCGUGAAGUUGACCGCCUGGGGGAGGACGGCCGCGAGUAAACGUACGUAAGGUAAGUAGUUAGCGUGAGAGUGCCGACGGCGACGACGAGGGAGGAGG
Molecule: ribosomal RNA, 625 nt
Filed under: uncultured bacterium
Lineage: Bacteria
Description: bacterial SSU rRNA
Rfam family: Bacterial small subunit ribosomal RNA (bases 1-544)
Source: RNAcentral